AUCCCUUGACGAGUCUCAGAUAGGACGAAACGCGCGUCCUGGAU
Molecule: non-coding RNA, 44 nt
Filed under: Schistosoma margrebowiei
Lineage: Eukaryota; Metazoa; Platyhelminthes; Trematoda; Strigeidida; Schistosomatidae
Source: RNAcentral